RNAcentral lists this long non-coding RNA (286 nucleotides) under Elaeis guineensis (African oil palm). RNAcentral's name for it is "long non-coding RNA (EGUI_LNC011421)". The record is from RNAcentral. Lineage: Eukaryota; Viridiplantae; Streptophyta; Magnoliopsida; Arecales; Arecaceae.
ACGACAAGAAAUAACUCCCUUCGUCCAAUGUGACAAACCACGUGGCAAUAUACACAUUUGUUCACCUUGGACUUGGGAGUGGGGGGCAACUAUUAGAAUAAACCAAUCAACCCCCAACUUUGGUCACCACGACUCUGAUUAUGCAUCGGCUGAACAUGCAGUUCCAACUCUUCAUCGACCAACUGAGUAAAUCACACCGACUUAUGAUCGGUUGAUUGAUGAAUGUUCGACUACUACCGAUUAACAGCAGAUGAUUUGAACCGUCAGCAUAACUGAACUACUAGCC